CCCAGACUCCUACGGGAGGCAGCAGUGGGGGAUAUUGCACAAUGGGGAAACCCUGAUGCAGCGACGCCGCGUGGGCGAAGAAGUAUUUCGGUAUGUAAAGCCCUAUCAGCAGGGAAGAAGAAAUGACGGUACCUGAGUAAGAAGCACCGGCUAAAUACGUGCCAGCAGCCGCGGUAAUACGUAUGGUGCAAGCGUUAUCCGGAUUUACUGGGUGUAAAGGGAGCGCAGGCGGUACGGCAAGUCUGAUGUGAAAGCCCGGGGCUCAACCCCGGUACUGCAUUGGAAACUGUCGGACUAGAGUGUCGGAGGGGUAAGUGGAACUCCUAGUGUAGCGGUGAAAUGCGUAGAUAUUAGGAGGAACACCAGUGGCGAAGGCGGCUUACUGGACGAUUACUGACGCUGAGGCUCGAAAGCGUGGGGAGCAAACAGGAUUAGAUACCCGGGUA
RNAcentral lists this ribosomal RNA (446 nucleotides) under uncultured bacterium. Its description in RNAcentral is "bacterial SSU rRNA". It matches the Rfam family "Bacterial small subunit ribosomal RNA", at positions 330 to 792 of the family's 1533-position model. The record is from RNAcentral.